UACAGAGGGUGCAAGCGUUGCUCGGAAUCAUUGGGCGUAAAGAGCGUGUAGGCGGUCCGGUCAGUCGGUUGUGAAAGUCAAGGGCUCAACCCUUGAAUGCCGGCCGAUACUGCCGGGCUAGAGUCCGGAAGAGGUGAGUGGAAUUCCUGGUGUAGCGGUGAAAUGCGCAGAUAUCAGGAGGAACACCGAUGGCGAAGGCAGCUCGCUGGGACGGUACUGACGCUGAGGCGCGAAAGCGUGGGGAGCGAACAGG
This 253-nucleotide ribosomal RNA is filed under the name uncultured bacterium. Its description in RNAcentral is "partial 16S ribosomal RNA". It matches the Rfam family "Bacterial small subunit ribosomal RNA", at positions 524 to 776 of the family's 1533-position model. The record is from RNAcentral.